GACGAGGCUACCUAAAGAAAAGGAAUGCAAGGUCCAACAUGACCAGGCAAAAUCGGCCUUUUUUAGUCUUUUCUUAAUUUCUGUUACACGAUAAUGAGCAAAGAAGGGCAACUGUAAUAGGCCCAAUUUGCCCGGGCCCAAAACACAAACAAAAAAUAAACCAAAUAAAAAAAAUAAACAAAUAAAUAAAACAACAAUAGCAGUCCAUUUUUAAAUGUCCAAAUUACAGACCCAAAAUCUAACCCAACCCACUAAACCCAAUUAGCCUAAGCCCAAUACCA
Molecule: long non-coding RNA, 281 nt
Filed under: Gossypium raimondii (Peruvian cotton)
Lineage: Eukaryota; Viridiplantae; Streptophyta; Magnoliopsida; Malvales; Malvaceae
Description: long non-coding RNA (GRAI_LNC001158)
Source: RNAcentral